This is a non-coding RNA of Clostridiales bacterium 38-18, 131 nucleotides long. NCBI's taxonomy places the organism in Bacteria, Bacillati, Bacillota, Clostridia, Eubacteriales. The record is from Rfam.
UUGAAAAAUGCAUAUAAACCGUAGACAGUAGGUGCUAACGCUUAAUUUCCUACCGAGGUAAGAAUAAAUAGUUUAUGUAACGUAAAUUAUGACCUCUCUUAUCUACGGAAGAGAGGUUUUAUUUUGUACAA